This 71-nucleotide transfer RNA is filed under the name Marmota monax (woodchuck). It matches the Rfam family "tRNA". Rfam says of the family: Transfer RNA (tRNA) molecules are approximately 80 nucleotides in length. Their secondary structure includes four short double-helical elements and three loops (D, anti-codon, and T loops). Further hydrogen bonds mediate the characteristic L-shaped molecular structure. tRNAs have two regions of fundamental functional importance: the anti-codon, which is responsible for specific mRNA codon recognition, and the 3' end, to which the tRNAs corresponding amino acid is attached (by aminoacyl-tRNA synthetases). tRNAs cope with the degeneracy of the genetic code in two manners: having more than one tRNA (with a specific anti-codon) for a particular amino acid; and 'wobble' base-pairing, i.e. permitting non-standard base-pairing at the 3rd anti-codon position. The record is from Rfam by way of RNAcentral. Lineage: Eukaryota; Metazoa; Chordata; Mammalia; Rodentia; Sciuridae.
GGGGUUGUGGCUCAGUGGCAGAGCACUUGCCUAGCAGGUGUGAGGCACUGGGUUCAAUUCUCAGCACCCCA